CAGCCGCCGCGGGAAUACGAAGGGGGCUAGCGUUGCUCGGAAUGACUGGACGUAAAGGGCGCGUAGGCGGCAUAUACAGUCAGGCGUGAAAUUCCCGGGCUUAACCUGGGGGCUGCGUUUGAUACGUAUGGGCUAGAGUGGGGAAGAGGGUCGUGGAAUUCCCAGUGUAGAGGUGAAAUUCGUAGAUAUUGGGAAGAACACCAGUGGCGAAGGCGGCUUACUGGCUCGAAACUGACGCUGAGGCGCGAAAGCGUGGGGAGCAAACAGGAUUAGAUACCCCUGUAGUCCCUGUCUCUUAUAC
This 301-nucleotide ribosomal RNA is filed under the name uncultured bacterium. RNAcentral describes it as "partial 16S ribosomal RNA". It matches the Rfam family "Bacterial small subunit ribosomal RNA", at positions 509 to 807 of the family's 1533-position model. The record is from RNAcentral.